This is a non-coding RNA of Arabidopsis thaliana (thale cress), 118 nucleotides long. The record is from RefSeq. Lineage: Eukaryota; Viridiplantae; Streptophyta; Magnoliopsida; Brassicales; Brassicaceae.
UUGGGAUUAUAGCCACGAACUCAAUAGAAUUCUUAAGAUCAUGUGAAAACGUUGACAAGAUCGUCUACGAUUUUCCAAGAUUCUAAGUCUUCUAUUGAUGUUCAUGGCUUUAACCUGA